This 224-nucleotide ribosomal RNA is filed under the name uncultured bacterium. RNAcentral describes it as "partial 16S ribosomal RNA". It matches the Rfam family "Bacterial small subunit ribosomal RNA", at positions 328 to 539 of the family's 1533-position model. The record is from RNAcentral.
ACGCUCGACACCUACGGGGAGGCAGCAGGUAGGGAAUCUUCCACAAUGGGCGCAAGCCUGAUGGAGCAACACCGCGUGAGUGAAGAAGGGUUUCGGCUCGUAAAGCUCUGUUGUUGGAGAAGAACGUGCGUGAGAGUAACUGUUCACGCAGUGACGGUAUCCAACCAGAAAGUCACGGCUAACUACGUGCCACAGCCGCGGUAAUCUGAGCGGGCUGGCAAGGC